GGGGCCGGCGAUGCGUCCUGGU
This 22-nucleotide non-coding RNA is filed under the name Arabidopsis thaliana (thale cress). Lineage: Eukaryota; Viridiplantae; Streptophyta; Magnoliopsida; Brassicales; Brassicaceae. The record is from RNAcentral.